Molecule: ribosomal RNA, 519 nt
Filed under: uncultured eukaryote
Lineage: Eukaryota
Description: SSU rRNA
Rfam family: Eukaryotic small subunit ribosomal RNA
Source: RNAcentral
AGGGCACCACCAGGAGUGGAGCCUGCGGCUUAAUUUGACUCAACACGGGAAAACUCACCCGGCCCGGACACUGGAAGGAUUGACAGAUUGAGAGCUCUUUCUUGAUUCAGUGGGUGGUGGUGCAUGGCCGUUCUUAGUUGGUGGAGUGAUUUGUCUGGUUAAUUCCGAUAACGAACGAGACUCUAGCCUAUUAAAUAGAUCGUUGGCUUACAAACGCCGGCGAGACUUCUUAGAGGGACAGGCGGCGAUUCAGCCGCACGAAACAGAGCAAUAACAGGUCUGUGAUGCCCUUAGAUGUCCGGGGCCGCACGCGCGCUACACUGAAGUGAUCAGCGUGCAUUUUGAAACCUACUCUGUCAAGAGUGGGGAACCCAAUGAACCUUCUUCGUGAUUGGGAUAGGGGAUUGUAAUUAUUCCCCUUGAACGAGGAAUUCCCAGUAAGCGCGAAUCAUAAGUUUGCGCUGAUUACGUCCCUGCCCUUUGUACACACCGCCCGUCGCUACUGCCGAUUGAAUGUUU